GACGGAGGAUGCAAGCGUUAUCCGGAAUGAUUGGGCGUAAAGCGUCCGCAGGUGGCAGUUCAAGUCUGCUGUCAAAGACCGGGGCUUAACUUCGGAAAGGCAGUGGAAACUGAACAGCUAGAGUAUGGUAGGGGCAGAGGGAAUUCCUGGUGUAGCGGUGAAAUGCGUAGAUAUCGGAAGGAACACCAGUGGCGAAAGCGGCUUCCUGGUCCAGCACCGACGUUCAGGCACGAAAGCGUGGGGAGCAAACAGG
Molecule: ribosomal RNA, 253 nt
Filed under: uncultured bacterium
Lineage: Bacteria
Description: partial 16S ribosomal RNA
Rfam family: Bacterial small subunit ribosomal RNA
Source: RNAcentral